CCCUUCUACAAAGGCGUGUCUGUGGUUCCCUGUCUUUGGGCAUCUGAGAAUUGGAGGCAAAGAAAUGUGGACUUGGAGAAGCCUGGGGCCAGCUUGUUCCCUGCAGCUGAAGAUCAACCAUCUUACCUAG
This is a small nucleolar RNA of Artibeus jamaicensis (Jamaican fruit-eating bat), 130 nucleotides long. RefSeq annotates it as small nucleolar RNA SNORA38. NCBI's taxonomy places the organism in Eukaryota, Metazoa, Chordata, Mammalia, Chiroptera, Phyllostomidae. The record is from RefSeq and is a predicted model, not a curated record. The transcript has a single exon.